RNAcentral lists this long non-coding RNA (256 nucleotides) under Dasypus novemcinctus (nine-banded armadillo). RNAcentral describes it as "lncRNA (ENSDNOG00000051173.1)". Lineage: Eukaryota; Metazoa; Chordata; Mammalia; Cingulata; Dasypodidae. The record is from RNAcentral.
GAACGGACCUGAUCGAGGCUGCUCCGUCACUGGUUCCAGCUGUGAGGCACCCAGGGGUCGCGGUGCUCAGGCGGAUCUUCGGCUUGCAAAAUUACAGGUUGCAGCCUCAAAGGAUGAGCGGUGCCUUGGGAAAGGUGCUGUACCUGAAGAAUGAUACCAUUUUCAAACAAGCCUUUUCCCUCUUAAGGUAAGGAUGUUAAUAACAAUAAUUAAGUAUAGUUAAUAUUUGCAUUCUGCUUCAUCUUUCCCACAAUUU